CGGGACACGUGGUAUCCUGUCUGAAUAUGGGGGGACCAUCCUCCAAGGCUAAAUACUCCUGACUGACCGAUAGUGAACCAGUACCGUGAGGGAAAGGCGAAAAGAACCCCGGCGAGGGGAGUGAAAAAGAACCUGAAACCGUGUACGUACAAGCAGUGGGAGCACGCUUAGGCGUGUGACUGCGUACCUUUUGUAUAAUGGGUCAGCGACUUAUAUUCUGUAGCAAGGUUAACCGAAUAGGGGAGCCGAAGGGAAACCGAGUCUUAACUGGGCGUUAAGUUGCAGGGUAUAGACCCGAAACCCGGUGAUCUAGCCAUGGGCAGGUUGAAGGUUGGGUAACACUAACUGGAGGACCGAACCGACUAAUGUUGAAAAAUUAGCGGAUGACUUGUGGCUGGGGGUGAAAGGCCAAUCAAACCGGGAGAUAGCUGGUUCUCCCCGAAAGCUAUUUAGGUAGCGCCUCGUGAAUUCAUCUCCGGGGGUAGAGCACUGUUUCGGCAAGGGGGUCAUCCCGACUUACCAACCCGAUGCAAACUGCGAAUACCGGAGAAUGUUAUCACGGGAGACACACGGCGGGUGCUAACGUCCGUCGUGAAGAGGGAAACAACCCAGACCGCCAGCUAAGGUCCCAAAGUCAUGGUUAAGUGGGAAACGAUGUGGGAAGGCCCAGACAGCCAGGAUGUUGGCUUAGAAGCAGCCAUCAUUUAAAGAAAGCGUAAUAGCUCACUGGUCGAGUCGGCCUGCGCGGAAGAUGUAACGGGGCUAAACCAUGCACCGAAGCUGCGGCAGCGACGCUGAUGCGUUGUUGGGUAGGGGAGCGUUCUGUAAGCCUGUGAAGGUGUGCUGUGAGGCAUGCUGGAGGUAUCAGAAGUGCGAAUGCUGACAUAAGUAACGAUAAAGCGGGUGAAAAGCCCGCUCGCCGGAAGACCAAGGGUUCCUGUCCAACGUUAAUCGGGGCAGGGUGAGUCGACCCCUAAGGCGAGGCCGAAAGGCGUAGUCGAUGGGAAACAGGUUAAUAUUCCUGUACUUGGUGUUACUGCGAAGGGGGGACGGAGAAGGCUAUGUUGGCCGGGCGACGGUUGUCCCGGUUUAAGCGUGUAGGCUGGUUUUCCAGGCAAAUCCGGAAAAUCAAGGCUGAGGCGUGAUGACGAGGCACUACGGUGCUGAAGCAACAAAUGCCCUGCUUCCAGGAAAAGCCUCUAAGCAUCAGGUAACAUCAAAUCGUACCCCAAACCGACACAGGUGGUCAGGUAGAGAAUACCAAGGCGCUUGAGAGAACUCGGGUGAAGGAACUAGGCAAAAUGGUGCCGUAACUUCGGGAGAAGGCACGCUGAUAUGUAGGUGAAGUCCCUCGCGGAUGGAGCUGAAAUCAGUCGAAGAUACCAGCUGGCUGCAACUGUUUAUUAAAAACACAGCACUGUGCAAACACGAAAGUGGACGUAUACGGUGUGACGCCUGCCCGGUGCCGGAAGGUUAAUUGAUGGGGUCAGCGCAAGCGAAGCUCUUGAUCGAAGCCCCGGUAAACGGCGGCCGUAACUAUAACGGUCCUAAGGUAGCGAAAUUCCUUGUCGGGUAAGUUCCGACCUGCACGAAUGGCGUAAUGAUGGCCAGGCUGUCUCCACCCGAGACUCAGUGAAAUUGAACUCGCUGUGAAGAUGCAGUGUACCCGCGGCAAGACGGAAAGACCCCGUGAACCUUUACUAUAGCUUGACACUGAACAUUGAGCCUUGAUGUGUAGGAUAGGUGGGAGGCUUUGAAGUGUGGACGCCAGUCUGCAUGGAGCCGGCCUUGAAAUACCACCCUUUAAUGUUUGAUGUUCUAACGUUGACCCGUGAUCCGGGUUGCGGACAGUGUCUGGUGGGUAGUUUGACUGGGGCGGUCUCCUCCUAAAGAGUAACGGAGGAGCACGAAGGUUGGCUAAUCCUGGUCGGACAUCAGGAGGUUAGUGCAAUGGCAUAAGCCAGCUUGACUGCGAGCGUGACGGCGCGAGCAGGUGCGAAAGCAGGUCAUAGUGAUCCGGUGGUUCUGAAUGGAAGGGCCAUCGCUCAACGGAUAAAAGGUACUCCGGGGAUAACAGGCUGAUACCGCCCAAGAGUUCAUAUCGACGGCGGUGUUUGGCACCUCGAUGUCGGCUCAUCACAUCCUGGGGCUGAAGUAGGUCCCAAGGGUAUGGCUGUUCGCCAUUUAAAGUGGUACGCGAGCUGGGUUUAGAACGUCGUGAGACAGUUCGGUCCCUAUCUGCCGUGGGCGCUGGAGAACUGAGGGGGGCUGCUCCUAGUACGAGAGGACCGGAGUGGACGCAUCACUGGUGUUCGGGUUGUCAUGCCAAUGGCACUGCCCGGUAGCUAAAUGCGGAAGAGAUAAGUGCUGAAAGCAUCUAAGCACGAAACUUGCCCCGAGAUGAGUUCUCCCUGACUCCUUGAGAGUCCUGAAGGAACGUUGAAGACGACGACGUUGAUAGGCCGGGUGUGUAAGCGCAGCGAUGCGUUGAGCUAACCGGUACUAAUGAACCGUGAGGCUUAACCUUACAACGCCGAAGCUGUU
Molecule: ribosomal RNA, 2544 nt
Filed under: Escherichia coli
Lineage: Bacteria; Pseudomonadati; Pseudomonadota; Gammaproteobacteria; Enterobacterales; Enterobacteriaceae
Description: partial 23S ribosomal RNA
Rfam family: Bacterial large subunit ribosomal RNA
Source: RNAcentral